AUUGAACGCUGGCGGCAGGCCUAACACAUGCAAGUCGAGCGGAUGAAGGUAGCUUGCUCCUGGAUUCAGCGGCGGACGGCUGAUGAAUGCCUAGGAAUUUGCCUGGUAGUGGGGGAUAACGUCCGGAAACGUGCGCUAAUACCGCAUACGGCCUGAGGGAGAAAGUGGGGGAUCUUCGGACCUCACGCUAUCAUAUGAGCCUAGGUCGGUUUAGCUAGUUGGUGGGGUAAAGGCCUACCAAGGCGACGAUCCGUAACUGGUAUGAAAGGAUGAUCAGUCACACUGGAACUGAGACACGGUACCGACUCCUACAGGAGGACGCAGCGGGGAAUAUUGGAGAAUGGGCGAAAGGCUGAUCCAGGAAUGCCGCGGGUGGGAAGAAGGUCUUAGGAUUGUAAAGCAAUUUAAGUUGGGAGGAAGGGAAGUCAGUUCAUCCCUUGCUGUUUUGACGUUACCAACAGAAUAAGCACCGGCUAACUUCGUG
This 484-nucleotide ribosomal RNA is filed under the name uncultured bacterium. Its description in RNAcentral is "partial 16S ribosomal RNA". It matches the Rfam family "Bacterial small subunit ribosomal RNA", at positions 30 to 507 of the family's 1533-position model. The record is from RNAcentral.